AUACCAGCCCCGCGAGUGGUCGGGGUGAUUAUUGGGCCUAAAGCGCCCGUAGCCGGCCCGGCAAGUCUCCCUGUAAAGCCCCGGGCUCAACCCGGGGAGUGGGGGAGAUACUGCCGGGCUAGGGGGCGGGAGAGGCCGAGGGUACUCCCGGGGUAGGGGCGAAAUCCUAUAAGCCCGGGAGGACCACCAGUGGCGAAGGCGCUCGGCUGGAACGCGCCCGACGGUGAGGGGCGAAAGCCGGGGGAGCGAACCGGAUUAGAAACCCUAGUAGUCC
Molecule: ribosomal RNA, 274 nt
Filed under: uncultured bacterium
Lineage: Bacteria
Description: partial 16S ribosomal RNA
Rfam family: Archaeal small subunit ribosomal RNA
Source: RNAcentral